UACGGAGGGUGCAAGCGUUAAUCGGAAUUACUGGGCGUAAAGCGCGCGUAGGCGGCUAUUUAAGUCGGAUGUGAAAGCCCCGGGCUCAACCUGGGAAUUGCAUUCGAUACUGAGUGGCUUGAGUAUGGGAGAGGACAGUGGAAUUCCAGGUGUAGCGGUGAAAUGCGUAGAGAUCUGGAGGAACAUCAGUGGCGAAGGCGACUGUCUGGCCCAAUACUGACGCUGAGGUGCGAAAGCGUGGGGAGCAAACAGG
This 253-nucleotide ribosomal RNA is filed under the name uncultured bacterium. RNAcentral's name for it is "partial 16S ribosomal RNA". It matches the Rfam family "Bacterial small subunit ribosomal RNA", at positions 524 to 776 of the family's 1533-position model. The record is from RNAcentral.